GAAAAACUAAAGAGAUGGAUGGAGAAAGGUGUAGAACCCCCAGCUGAGGAAGCUGCAUUGCCUCCUCCUCCAACAGUAGGCACGUACCAAAACAACUCACUGGGGUAUGAAAACAGAUCUGACAUGAUGAACGAGAUGUCUCCACCUAGUGGGAGCUGGAGCAGUGGCAGCCCGACUCCAUCCGAGAAUUCUGCGGGAAUCCCACCAGUCUCACAGGGCUCGAAUCAAUUCUCAGCUCGUGGACGCCCAAGGUAAACAAACCACUUGUGACGCUUUCGAAUUAUUCUUAUGUGCAGGCUUUCCUGGAUCAUAAAUCAUGAGCGUAGUUGUAGUGUCUCAUUAGAAUGACAUUCAAGAGUGAAUAAAUAUAAGCCAACGACGGUAUUAAAGGUGAAGCUUUGAGUGUGAAAUGGACAAACUUUUCUUGAUUGUAGUUUCCGGUUGUGUUAGCUAUAAUACUCCAUAGUUGAGUCUGAUAAAUUGUCAGAAAAGCUGCUGUAGACACUGGGGAUCAUCACAUAUUGCCUUUGUUAGAUAACGUGCAUGAUUAGAGUUGAAUCGUUUUUACUUUCUUUUGGAGCAGAUACGUUGACCUCUUUAAUCCAGGCGGUGGAAACUCUAAGACAAUGUUUCAGUCAGCUCAUGCAAAAUCUGCUAAACCACCAAUCCCUGCAAAAGCAAAUUUCUUCAUCCCAGCAGCACCUGCGUCGUCUUCAAACGACCAGGUAACCGAGAUUGCAGCUACUGAAACCAGACAGGAGUACUCAGCAGAAAAAGAAGUAGCCGCCUCUGCAGGGGCUCCACCACCAAGCCACUCUUCAUUCCAGUCCCCGACUCCAUCUCCAAUGACAAUGCAGAGAUUUCCAAGUCUAGAUAACAUCAAACGAAGUGGAUCAGGAACGAGUCUUAACGGUGAUUUUCCUUCGUCAGGUUCCAGAAGAACAGCUUCAUGGAGUGGAAGUUUGAACAGCUCGUUUACAUCUCCAACGGGUCCAUCAAACCUCAAACCAAGCCCACUCAACGGUAGCAGCAGCAGCCUUGGAGAGGAGCUUCAAGACGUGGAACUGUAAGAGCUAGAAUCUGUAGUAUCAAAAAGUUUUGCUCACUGUCAGAGGUAGUCCAGUCAAAUGUUAAUCCAUGAGUUUACCCAAUACAUAAAAUACGAUAGGGGCAAUAUGUGUGAGUUUGUAUCCAUUGUUUUUUUUUUUACAUUACAAAUCAUUAAUUUUUCUUGUUUAACAGACUUCAGUUGUUGUACAAUUAUACACAUUAAUGUUCUGUUCAUGAGUAGGGGUUUAAUCAAAUGGUUCACCAUGUGAUUGUUUUUGCUAAGUCACUUCUUCAGUGUCAUCAAGUUGAUAAUAGAGACUUUUUAUAGGCUGAAGAGCAAAUCUGUUUCUAGAAUUGUGAAAGAGUAUUGAGCUCCAGUGCCGUGGUUUCUGUUUAAUUGUGAGUACUUGAUUCAUGCAGGCACAUAAUUUUCACCGUUACCAUGUGGGAUCAUUGCAUCUUUUAUCAAGUGCGAACCUUUUUUGAGUUUUAGUAAUCCAAAUAAAAUAUUGGAAAACAAGUAUUAGGAAUAAAAAACCCUGCAAAACGUGAAAUUUGUAGGGUUUAACAUAUUAAACCAAAUGUAUUGUGUAACCUGCGUCAGAUUGACAUUGUGUGUUUUUGCUUUUGUCUUUAUAUGAAUGCCAGUGUGGGGGAAUUAGUUCAUGUUCUGUAUAUAGGAGUGGCAGCAAUACUGUAGUAAUUUGUAUGAGUAGUGAGACUAUUUGCGGUUGUUUUUAAAGGUGGGCUCUGUAAACAAUGCGUUGGUGAUUAUUUACUUUUGUGAAGCUAUUUUAGAUGAGAUUGCAUUUCUAGGUUACUUCUUUGUCUUGAUUCACAAGACGUUAUCUUAAAGACUCUUUACCAUAGAAUCAAUAAGCGGAAAACAAUCCGCCUUUCUUUCUUCGUUUCUGUUUCUGCCCUAUUAGUUCUUUCUGUUUACAGAUGGGCCUUUCAGUCCCAAGAUGAUACAUUCAUGAACAGUAUUACUUAUCAAGGGAGGCAAGAGGUUGCUUUUUUUGUUCUUUUGUUUGGGACUCCAAACUCUUGUCUUUUAAAUUUGGUUUUCUCCUCUUACACGAUUGGGGUCUCUCCAGUUGCUAGCCAUGUUUGGUUUCAUAACUACUUUGACAUUGUGUUUACAAUAACCAAAGGCUCAAAACUUAUAAGAUACUGGAGUUGCGCACUGCAACAUUUUUCUCAUGAAUCCAGCUAGAGUCUACACUGUGUUUUACCCUUUUUAAAACAGACGAUCCCAUGAAGCAUCAUAUAUAUUAGUAUAAAGAUAAAUAAUAUAGAUAAAUAAUAUAAUCAAGUGGAGGUUUUCUUAGUCCAAUAGUUUGAGCAAAGAGUUCAUUAAUUGUUUUACACCAGAAGGUUUGGGGUGAAGUAUGCAAAAUAUUAGAAAGAAAGCUUACAAGAGAUUUUUGGCACGGAGGAAGUAGUACCAUCGGGAAUGGAUCUUAUAGGGCAGCUCAGGAUGAUGCAAUCAUAAGUGAAUACUAAUAAAGUAUGUCGGUUGUAGUAUCGUCUCUGUAUGUUUCUCGUAGUUUAUAAUAAUAUAAUUAACCAAUAUUAAAAAAAAUAGUAUUUUCCUAAAAUAUAAUUUUUUUAUUUUUGGGGCUAGAUUGAAAGUUGGGAAGGUAAAAGGAUUAAAAUAAACAUAAAGGUUAUUUGGAAAAUAGCAAAUAUAAGUGGAAUAAUAUAAAGUUCAUUAUUUGACUAUGAUACUAAAUAUUUUUGGUGGGUUCAUCGGAACCUUCAAGUGAAACAUGAAAAAAAUUAUUUUUAUGGUGUCAAGAAAAUUACUAUCAUCUUUACUUUUGUGGAGAAGAUUUCAUCACCAUGCAUUCUUUCCAUGAAAGAUAAUGCUUCUCAAAGCAUUAUUCGAUCUAUAGUUUCAAGUUAAACACCAGUUUAUCUUCUUACGUAGCAAUUUGUACGGAGCCAGAAGAGGCCACCAAGAUUAUUUCGGUUUUUCUGUAGGUUGUAGAUUAGAAGUUAGACUAAUUUUAAAUUAUUUAACUUUGUCGUGAAUGUGAAUAUCUUUUUGACGUAUUUAAACUUUAUUUUGAAUUUGAUGUGACCUGGUUUUUCACAGUAGUAACAUCCUCUCUCCUACUGAGUCUCUGAUCGUAGCACCUUCUGGAGAUUCUUAACUUUUUCAGCAACAAUCUUUGAGGUAGUACUUUCACUUGUUGUUCUUCCUUCGGAGUUGGAGCUUGGAAAAUUUUUGAUAAGUUUUGUAUCACUCUUUCCAUACCCGAGAUAUUUNNNNNNNNNNNNNNNNNNNNNNNNNNNNNNNNNNNNNNNNNNNNNNNNNNNNNNNNNNNNNNNNNNNNNNNNNNNNNNNNNNNNNNNNNNNNNNNNNNNNNNNNNNNNNNNNNNNNNNNNNNNNNNNNNNNNNNNNNNNNNNNNNNNNNNNNNNNNNNNNNNNNNNNNNNNNNNNNNNNNNNNNNNNNNNNNNNNNNNNNNNNNNNNNAUCAGCAUCAACAGCAGGAGGCUGCUAAGUUACCAUAUAGUCAAUCUGCUAAUACAAUGCAAUCAUUGAUGUCACAUGCCUCAAUGGAACCAAUACGUGAGUUGGAUGGGAACUCAAGGACGAUGGCAGUACAUUCUAGAAGUGUCUCAGAGCCAGAUUUCGGUAGGACGCCAAUACAGGUCAAUAUCACUGGAAAUCAUUUAUUUUUAUUUCCUUUUCUGUUAUUGCCUGAUGUCUGGUUUGGGAUUUAUCCUGAGGUAAGUAGGUACUUAGCAUGCAGGUUUAGAAAACCAUUGCUUACUUGCCUUUUUUCUGAUAGGAUCAGCCUGUCUCCUCAAAAGACAAAGCUACUGAUGGGGUGCCACAGGUGAAACCAACCGUGAAUGUGACAAGUUCGCGGUUUAGCAGCUUUGGUUUUGGCAUACUAAAGAACACCGUACGGAGGGUCUUACCAUCUCGGCCAUCUAAAGAGGUGCACCUUAAUAAAUGUUUUAAGUCGUGAUGAUGGUUUUCUUGAACUUAUUCUAAUGUUGGGUCAUGCUUUUGAAUUAAGGCAAAACUGGGUGAGGAGAAUCAGUUUUACUAUGACGAAAAACUAAAGAGAUGGAUGGAGAAAGGUGUAGAACCCCCAGCUGAGGAAGCUGCAUUGCCUCCUCCUCCAACAGUAGGCACGUACCAAAACAACUCACUGGGGUAUGAAAACAGAUCUGACAUGAUGAACGAGAUGUCUCCACCUAGUGGGAGCUGGAGCAGUGGCAGCCCGACUCCAUCCGAGAAUUCUUCGGGAAUCCCACCAAUCUCACAGGGCUCGAAUCAAUUCUCAGCUCGUGGACGCCCAAG
This 4372-nucleotide long non-coding RNA is filed under the name Brassica napus (rape). Its description in RNAcentral is "long non-coding RNA (BNAP_LNC022928)". The record is from RNAcentral. Lineage: Eukaryota; Viridiplantae; Streptophyta; Magnoliopsida; Brassicales; Brassicaceae.